This 309-nucleotide ribosomal RNA is filed under the name Triticum aestivum (bread wheat). Its description in RNAcentral is "partial small subunit ribosomal RNA". Lineage: Eukaryota; Viridiplantae; Streptophyta; Magnoliopsida; Poales; Poaceae. The record is from RNAcentral.
AUGGACCCGCAUGGGCAUGGAGGACCAGGUGGAGGAGGCCCUGUAGGGUGGGGUCCGGUACCACCUGGAGGGCCUGGAUUUCUCGGUGGCCCUGGCCCUGGUUCUUGGGGGCCUGGAUUUCCGGGUGGCUUUGGCCCUGGUUCUUGGGGCCCUGGAUUUCUCGGUGACCCUGGCCCUGGUUGGGGAUCUGGAUUUGGUCGCUUUUUCGGAUCCUGCUUCUAUCAUCUCUGCUGCUGCUGCCUGCUCCAGGACUGCUGUGGCCCUCUAUUCGGACACCCAGGCCCAGGCGGUCCACCACCCCCUUUCUGA